GGCCAUCUGAAGGAGUGUGUCGCGUGUGCAGUUUCCCGCGGCGUCUGGACAGUGCCUCUUUUUUCUUCGUAGCUGCCAGCGUGUUACCUGGCUUGAUGUAUUUCGCUGCUGACGCGCUAAUGUGAGUGCUGAACUCGGCCAGACAGAAGUACUACAGCGCAAAGAAAGCGAGGCAGCAUCACUGCUCCGCUUCCGCUUACACGUCCGGUUAUGUGUCGUCGACGCAGCAGGGUCAGCGUGUGUCUCUCGUUUCUGUGCCGAACGACCUGCGCGCUUCGAAGCUUGGCGACGAGCCGUGCCCCGUGCUGACAAAUCUAUGGACGCGAAGUCGGUGCUAUGUGAGCGUCAUUUCGACGAGCAAUAUAGUGAGCGUGGUUUCACGCACGUGAUAAAUGGUGAAACUGUUCAGAGUCCGCGAAAGCGACCGGUGCUGGAACCCGACGUGGUUCCAACCUCAUUUUCUAGUGUUCCCGCAUGUCUAUUGAAAGCGCCGAAGAAAAGAACAUGGAGAACAUCAGCGUGCGGCUUGGCUUCGAAGAUCUGGCGGCGAGAACAAAGCGCGUCUGCUUGUGAAGAAGGAACUGACUCGCACAGUGCAGAAGGCGAUUGCAACCAAGUACCUGGUUUGAACUCGCCAGCAAUUCCCGAUAUCCGCAAAUGUGGUCUUCCCAGCGCUUACUGGGCUAGGCACCUGAUGGCUGGCGCAGACGUCACGGCGUUUAUUGUGUGCGCUCUAGAAGGUGAGAACAUAUAUUUUAAAAGUAUGUGCUGAUGACAACAAAUGAGAGGACAGUGCAAUCAACGGCCUCUCUGCAAACCGCUAAAAUCAAAACCUUUCAUAUUACCGAGAUUGAAAUGGCAGGACAGUUGCUUCGCAAAAAGGACUAUAUGAUCGCAUGCAGAGUAUGGCCCAUUUCGGAAAUCGCAGCGCCGCGAGAUAACCUGGCGGGCGCGCGACGCAUUAUGGGAAAAGUGAGCGAGCGCCGACCAGCCGCCCGUCUUCGCUUCGUCCUGCGUUCGCAUAGUUGCGGUGUGUGUGUGUGCGCGUGCUUCGUUUGGUUUGAGAUUUCGUGUACUUGUUGGUGGUGGGCGGCUGCAGGUGCGUUAUAUUAACUGUUACGUGCCUGUGGGUUACAUAGUGACCUCAGUCACUACUGCGCGCGAUGUCGUCGAAGUGCCGAGGCGGCGGCCAGACUUGUUGUGUGCCUGGUUGCGACAACAACGCGCUAAAAGACAAGAACGUUUCAUUUCACGCAUUCCCUGCAAAUGAAAAAGAAAAAAAAGGAGUGGGUGAGAAGAAUCAACCGCCAAGGAAGUGCUGGUCGCUUCUCUUUGUGGCAGCCUUCUAAGCACCACCGGAUAUCCGGAGCUCACUUCAACGCAAGUGGACGCCGUGGUUACCUGGACCGGCUGCCAACAAUUUUCCCCCAUAAAGUCAUCAAUCAACUAAAUCCUUCCUUUAAUACCGGUAAAUAUAUAUAUUCAGACGGUUAUUGCAUGUUAUCAUAACUUCCAAAUCUUUUCCAGUCGCGAAACGCAAGAAGACGAGCUCCCAAACUGCCUCUGCCAGCCCGGUGCUCCUUCUGAACGAGUUGGAUAUCGGCUGCGUAGUUGACGUGCCCCAAUGCGAUCAACCAAGUGACGUUGUUUCCCAGGAGCCCACCCAGCUGACCUUCGGUGCACCGGCUUCGCCUCGCACGGAAACGGAAGGUGCCGACCACUCGUACUCCAUGGGGCCUCCAGACGCAGCACCUGCUGCCACGCUAAGAAAAGUCAACUACCUUCUCGAAGUCUGUGGAUAACUCGACCAUGAAAAUAGCUUGCUCCUCAAAGACAAAUCUGUGCUCCAGAAAGAGGUUGAGGAUCUGAAGGCUCAGUUGCACGAUGUGAAAGUGGAGGCGCUCAAAGAGAAACUGAAACUAAAAGAUCCUGUCUCCAAACUUCACGAUUUUGUUUCAGAUGAGAAACGACUCGUGUUUUAUACGGGGUUUAACUCCUUCAAAAAAUUUGAUGCGUUUGUGGAACAUGUUGAAGGCAUGUACGAGGCACUGAAAACGGGUGCUGGCAGGCCACCAGCACUGACAAUGAAAGAACAGCUCAUUGCAGUGCUUUGCAGGCUCAGGGUUGGGUU
Dermacentor andersoni is the source of this 2131-nucleotide non-coding RNA. NCBI's taxonomy places the organism in Eukaryota, Metazoa, Arthropoda, Arachnida, Ixodida, Ixodidae. The record is from RefSeq and is a predicted model, not a curated record.